GACGAACGCUGGCGGCGUGCUUAACACAUGCAAGUCGAACGGAAAGGCCCUGCUUUUGUGGGGUGCUCGAGUGGCGAACGGGUGAGUAACACGUGAGUAACCUGCCUCUGACUUUGGGAUAACUUCAGGAAACUGGGGCUAAUACCGGAUAGGAGCUCCUGCUGCAUGGUGGGGGUUGGAAAGUUUCGGCGGUUGGGGAUGGACUCGCGGCUUAUCAGCUUGUUGGUGGGGUAGUGGCUUACCAAGGCUUUGACGGGUAGCCGGCCUGAGAGGGUGACCGGCCACAUUGGGACUGAGAUACGGCCCAGACUCCUACGGGAGGCAGCAGUGGGGAAUAUGGCACAAUGGGCGGAAGCCUGAUGCAGCAACGCCGCGUGCGGGAUGACGGCCUUCGGGUUGUAAACCGCUUUCGCCUGUGACGAAGCGUGAGUGACGGUAAUGGGUAAAGAAGCACCGGCUAACUACGUG
Molecule: ribosomal RNA, 468 nt
Filed under: uncultured bacterium
Lineage: Bacteria
Description: partial 16S ribosomal RNA
Rfam family: Bacterial small subunit ribosomal RNA
Source: RNAcentral